RNAcentral lists this ribosomal RNA (774 nucleotides) under uncultured Neocallimastigales. RNAcentral's name for it is "partial large subunit ribosomal RNA". It matches the Rfam family "Eukaryotic large subunit ribosomal RNA", at positions 23 to 616 of the family's 3401-position model. Lineage: Eukaryota; Fungi; Neocallimastigomycota; Neocallimastigomycetes; Neocallimastigales. The record is from RNAcentral.
AGAGAGAGACAUGCGCGCAUAUCAAUAAGCGGAGGAAAAGAAACUAGCAAGGAUUCCCCUAGUAACGGCGAGUGAAGCGGGAAGAGCUCAAAUUUGAAAUCUUAAAGGGUUUCCCUUUACGAAUUGUAGUUUAAAGAAGUGUUUUCUGUUGAGGUUUUGGUAAAAGUUCUUUGGGAUAGGACAUCAUAGAGGGUGAGAAUCCCGUAUUUGACCUUUACUUUCAACUUUGUGAUACACUUUCAAAGAGUCGGAUUGUUUGGGAAUGCAGUCCAAAAUGGGUGGUAAAUUUCAUCUAAAGCUAAAUAUUGGCGAGAGACCGAUAGCGAACAAGUACCGUGAGGGAAAGAUGAAAAGAACUUUGAAAAGAGAGUUAAACAGUACGUGAAAUUGUCAAAAGGGAAGCGUUUGACACCAGUGUUGUUUUUCUGAAAAUCAAUUAAAGAACUGUUUAUGCUAAGUUGUUUAGACUUUAUCAGCUAACUGUUUAGUUUUGAGCUUUUCUUUAAUGCACUUUUCAGUUAACAAGUCAACAUCAAUUUCUUUUGCUGUAAAAAAGCUUGAGGAAGGUGGCUUGAGAUUCGUCUUAAGUGUUUAUAGCCUCUUGCCUAUGCAGUCGGAGAGAUUGAGGUCUGCAGCGUAGAUCCUUCGGGGCUAAAUGCAUUUGUGCUAAGUUAUAGCAUUUUAUAGACAACUUGUUGACUAUGAUUUGUCUUGUAGCUUACUCGCUUAUGUUAUUUUACCUACGCUUAGGAUGUUGAGCGCAUGUCUCUCUCU